Molecule: long non-coding RNA, 1851 nt
Organism: Sinocyclocheilus anshuiensis
Lineage: Eukaryota; Metazoa; Chordata; Actinopteri; Cypriniformes; Cyprinidae
Source: Ensembl
UGUCUCUGCGUUGUGCUGAAACCUGUAGUUUGAUCGACACCGUUACGAUCGACAGACACAAUGGAGAAAUCGGUUUUCUUCUUCUGUGUGUUUUCAUGUUGGAUUAUGCAAAUCACAUCCAAUGGUAAAUAUACUCUAUUUCAGACAUUAUGAAAUUAAAUAACUAUUAUUAUGAGCAUGGUCUAAAAGGAUCUGUUUUUAUAAUGUCUCUCCAGAUGCGUCAGUACGAGGGUCUUAUGAUCUGCUGAGGGUUCAGAUGGGAGAAAACAUCAGUCUGAACUGCAGCAUGAGAAACCGAUAUGAAGUCGCCUGGUAUCACCUCAAUUCUGAAAAACUAGAUCUAUUGAUUUCUGUGAAGAAAGACAAAACUGGAAGAAAUCUCCUGACCAACUAUGAUCCAAACAGCCCUCGUCUGAAACUUACUGCAGACACAAGGAUCACCAGAGUCUCUCUAGAGAUUUCUGGAGUAACAGAGUCAGAUUUGGGCAUUUAUUUCUGUGGAACAAAGUCUGAUGCUCCAGAGAUGUUCUUCGACAAACCCAUCAGACUAGAGAUCGAGGGUCUUUCUGUAACAGAAAAGCCUAAAGAAGUUGACAUCACAGGUAACAUGUUGGUUGUUAUCUUGGUCGUUCAUUUAAUUUUUCAUGUUCUAACUCUGCUGCGGAGAUCCAGCACAAAUUCUAGUUAUCAGUUAACACUUUUCAGGUUGUACAAAUCUGAAUAUUUCUUCUGUCUCUGUCUCUCUGUAGAUGGAGUGACUACGAUCGAGAGGGCAUUGAUGUUUGGUGGUGUUGGUCUGGCUAUUGUUGUGUUUUUUCUGGCUACAGUCAUUGCAGGAGGAAUCAUUCACUAUCGCGGCUGGCAGAAAGGAUGGAGCGCAGGCAAACGCUCAUCUCUGAUUCAGCACAAAUCGGCUAAAUGACACAUUUGUGUGCUUUAUUUUACUGUCUGAGCUUUGCACUGCCAGCUAAACCAGCAUUACUGUAGGUUACCACAAAAUAAAACAGAACACUGUGGCCUAAAUUCUUUUCCUGUUGGCCAGAUCUACUUUCACUUCAGAGAAACAGAGAUGUUUUGUCAGAUGUCACCUUUUUCAGCCCCAGUGAAACAUGGAUUGUUGUGGUUAUUAUUCAGGUUUGUGCAGUUUAUUUGUGCUUGUCAAUAAUAUUCAGUUAAAUAUAAAAGUGCUGUUACUGCUACUGUUUUUAAUGCAACAAUUCAAUAUCAAUACACAAUAUUCAAGCUGGAGUUGCAUGUUUUAAGCAUUUUUACUUUAAUAUAGAGACUGAGCCAAAGUCCUUAUUAAAAAAGAACAGCAGAUGGCUUCUGUCACAGUCAAUGCAUAUGCUUUAAAAUCAUUAGAUCAGCAGGACUUGUGUUAAAAAAGUGCUUGUAUGUUUAGACAUGAUAUAUUUAUCUAGACUAGCAUUAAUAUGUACAUGUAAGCUAUUUUCAAGAGAAAAUAUAAAUGUAAAUCUCUUCUAUGGCACAUAAAUCUUGAUUAAAUUAAACUGCGAACAGAUUAAUGUUAAAUGUAUUAUUUAGAGUUCAAAGCAGUAAAACUGAGAAACUGUGUGUUUGUGCAUUUUCUGACACAAAACCAGAUCAUGCCAUUUCUCUUAAAACACAACCGUCCUCAAACUUACAGAAAAACGGGUUUCAACCCUUUUCAACAACAAGCUGAGGUUAAGAGAUGAUGUUUUUUUUUUUUGGCAAAUAAAGCUUGAUUAAAUAAAAAUGUGUUCAAUGAUAAAUGAGUUGUUGAGAGUUCUGAUGAAAUAAACAGCAGUAAAACUAACACAUUUAAUGUAUUUGUGCAUUCUCUGACCAUAUGAACCUCUUCAAACACAG